CCUUGAGCACGGACAGCCUGGAUCUGCUGGCCUGGAGUCGGGGACUCUGAAACCUAAUCUGAAGUGUGUUUAACGAGGGUUCUGAACGCUGGGACUUAUUGCUGAGGGGAACAAGGAGACAGUGUGUCCUCAGGGGCAGUGUGGCCGCCCCUAGAGCCACAGCAAGCAGGAAGAAUCGCAGCAUUUGUGGUCAGAACCGAUGGGCAGGCCUAAACAUUUAGCUACUUUGCCCCAGAAUGAAAGCCUUGUUCCAGCUCCCCAGGGUUUGGAUUUAAAGUUUUAGUUCCUGUCGGUGGUCGCAGUUUCCUGACGAGGGUGCCAUCCAGUCUGCUGUUCAGCUUUUGAGUCAUUUAAUUUUUCUUCUUCCAACUUCUCCUCCUCCACCUUCUCCUCCUCCACAUCAUCAUCAUCAUCCCAAAUACCCAUUAGAGCUCGCCUAGUCUGGAUGCCGUUCUAAGGGCAUGGUGUAUACUAAGUCGCUUAAUCCUUACGGUGACCCAGUGAAGUGGUUCAAUCUUUACGUCCAUUUUAUGUAAGAGGAAACUGAGGCACAAGAAGUAGCUUGCCUCCAGUGAGUGUGACUUUGGGCACUCCGUUGUCCUCCAGCCUGGAAAGUCCCAGUAGAUACAGCACAGCUGAGGUGCAGGUGUGCAGGUAUAUCAAUCCCUUCUGCCCACAGGGUAAAGCCCUAGAGCAUUGCAUCUGGUCUCAAGUGUCCAGGGCUCAAGUGUCCAGCUUUACACAGAUGUUACUGCUGAUGUCUGGAAAGUGAAAAAGGUAG
This 781-nucleotide long non-coding RNA is filed under the name Homo sapiens (human). Its description in RNAcentral is "non-protein coding lnc-IPO5-1:14". Lineage: Eukaryota; Metazoa; Chordata; Mammalia; Primates; Hominidae. The record is from RNAcentral.